RNAcentral lists this ribosomal RNA (254 nucleotides) under uncultured bacterium. RNAcentral's name for it is "partial 16S ribosomal RNA". It matches the Rfam family "Bacterial small subunit ribosomal RNA", at positions 524 to 776 of the family's 1533-position model. The record is from RNAcentral.
UACGUAGGGGGCGAGCGUUGUCCGGAUUUAUUGGGCGUAAAACGCUUGUAGGCGGCCACCGCGCGUCGGACGUGAAAUCUCCCGGCUCAACUGGGAGGGGUCGUGCGAUACGGCGGGGCUCGAGGCCGGUAGGGGGACGCGGAAUUCCCGGUGUAGUGGUGGAAUGCGUAGAUAUCGGGAGGAACACCGGUGGCGAAGGCGGCGACCUGGGUAGAUACUGACGCUGAGGUGCGAAAGCGUGGGGAGCAAACAGG